Molecule: ribosomal RNA, 468 nt
Filed under: uncultured bacterium
Lineage: Bacteria
Description: partial 16S ribosomal RNA
Rfam family: Bacterial small subunit ribosomal RNA
Source: RNAcentral
GACGAACGCUGGCGGCGUGCUUAACACAUGCAAGUCGAACGGAAAGGCCCUGCUUUUGUGGGGUGCUCGAGUGGCGAACGGGUGAGUAACACGUGAGUAACCUGCCCUUGACUUUGGGAUAACUUCAGGAAACUGGGGCUAAUACCGGAUAGGAGCUCCUGCUGCAUGGUGGGGGUUGGAAAGUUUCGGCGGUUGGGGAUGGACGCGCGGCUUAUCAGCUUGUUGGUGGGGUAGUGGCUUACCAAGGCUUUGACGGGUAGCCGGCCUGAGAGGGUGACCGGCCACAUUGGGACUGAGAUACGGCCCAGACGCCUACGGUGGGCAGCAGUGGGGAAUAUUGCACAAUGGUGGGAAGCCUGAUGCAGCAGCGCCGCGUGCGGGAUGACGGCCUUCGGGUUGUAAACCGCUUUCGCCUGUGACGAAGCGUGAGUGACGGUAAUGGGUAAAGAAGCACCGGCUAACUACGUG